UACACUAAUCAAGUCACUUCUUCAGUUUGCCCUGAACUGAACUAAUAUAACUCCUUAAAUCUCUCAUUUACAUCUGUUGAAUCCUCAUUGAGGCUCUUCUUUGAGCCCUUUUCAAUUUUUCAAACCACAAAGUUGUGAAAUGGGUGGAAAGAAAUCUAGAGAUUUUAAUAAAUGUUGGGUUGCUUUUCUUUGCUUUCUGGUUGGUGAGCCGGGAAGCUAAAGGGAGUGGGUGGGGAUCAUGUUUUCAAACUUUUCUUUGCAGUCAGUGGGGACAGACCCUUCCUUUUUUGAUUAAAUGAAAGCUGAGAUUCCCUGGCCAUCGCAUGAGCUGUGGAUUUAAGGAAAAACAGCAAAUACCAUAAUAAAUAUGGCCAAGGUUGGUCACCCCUCUCAUGUUCGACUCAGGGACUCAGUGGAGACAUAUUCCAUCUCCGGAAGAGAAAUUAGCUUCACAUCACAUCUCUGUCCCUUCCAGCCUACCCUGCCCAUGAGCCUACUGUCUCAGCCACUGUCUCCUGCCCGGACCCAGAGGAAACUCCAGGGAAGAGAGAUUCCCACAGGUUCCUCUGUGACGUCACUGGAUUCUUCCCAGCAGACAUCAGUUUCCGCUGGGAGCACAAUGGCUCCAUAGUUCCUGCCUCCCAGUACAGCAGUGGCCCCAUCGUCAGAUCUGGCCGGGCCUACUCCGCUCAGAGCAUCUUGAGAGUCCCCAGGCCCAAGGGGGAAGGAGAAGCGGGGCCCCAGUAUUUCUGCCUGGUGUGGCACAUGACGCUGAAUGAAACCUUGAAGGUCAAGGUGAAGCCAGGGAAUUGUGGCGGAAACUGUAAUCAACAUCCUCUGGAGGUCUUUCUCCUUCCCCCUUCCCUGGAGGAUCUCUACAUAGGGCAGAACGCCACCAUCAGUUGUUUGGUGAGCAGCAUGGAGACCCCCGGAAGCCUGGAGGUCUCCUGGAACCGGGGUAGCGGGGGCCCAUUGGCCGUGGUCUCCAGGGAGCCGGUGCUGCAGGAAAAUGGCACCUACAGUGCAACCAGCAUCCUGCGGGUGUGCGUGGAGGAGUGGCAGGCAGGGGAGGAGUUCACCUGCACAGUGAAGCACCAAGACAUCCCAUCAGCCAUUGUCAAGACCAUCCACAAGAUUCAUGUGGUCUCUCCCCGUAACCCUUCUGUCUACAUCUUCCCUCCUCACGCUGAGGAGCUGGCGCUCCGGGAAUUGGCCACCAUCACCUGCCUGGCCUCCGGCUUCCGGCCCAGAGACAUCUUGGUGACAUGGACCCAGCAGGACCGGCCCGGGCCCCAGGAGGCCUACACCAACAUCGGUCCCGUCCGGGAGGCCGGGAAGGAGGAGCGCUACUUCAUCUACAGCAAGCUCAAUGUCUUGGCAUCUGAAUGGGGAUGGGGGGACACGUACGCCUGCAUGGUGGGGCACAAGGGUCUGCCCAUGACCUUCGUCCAGCGGAGCGUGGACAAAGCCUCCGGUAAACCCAGCGCUGUCAAUGUCUCUGUGAUCUUGUCCGAUACCGACGUCACCUGCUACUGAGGAGCAGAGCCGUGUGGGCUCCUCAUGGCGUAUCUGAGAUGGCCAGGGAACCUCGUGGGGUCUGGGAUUCCUCUUAGCCUGUGUGUAAAGCUGUGGGAGCUCUGGUGUACAGAGCGUGGCUGUGUGUGGAAUAUGCCCAAAUAAAAAUGCAGCAUGCCAGA
Molecule: non-coding RNA, 1697 nt
Organism: Chelonia mydas (Green sea turtle)
Lineage: Eukaryota; Metazoa; Chordata; Testudines; Cheloniidae
Source: the annotation of a RefSeq genome assembly